RNAcentral lists this ribosomal RNA (505 nucleotides) under uncultured bacterium. RNAcentral's name for it is "partial 16S ribosomal RNA". It matches the Rfam family "Bacterial small subunit ribosomal RNA", at positions 28 to 507 of the family's 1533-position model. The record is from RNAcentral.
GACGAACGCUGGCGGCGUGCCUAAUACAUGCAAGUAGAACGCACAGUUUAUACCGUAGCUUGCUACACCAUAGACUGUGAGUUGCGAACGGGUGAGUAACGCGUAGGUAACCUGCCUGGUAGCGGGGGAUAACUAUUGGAGACGAUAGCUAAUACCGCAUAAUAUUAAUUAUUGCAUGAUAAUUAAUUGAAAGGUGCAAUUGCACCACUACCAGAUGGACCUGCGUUGUAUUAGCUAGUAGGUGAGGUAACGGCUCACCUAGGCGACGAUACAUAGCCGACCUGAGAGGGUGAUCGGCCACACUGGGACUGAGACACGGCCCAGACUCCUACGGGAGGCAGCAGUAGGGAAUCUUCGGCAAUGGACGAAAGUCUGACCGAGCAACGCCGCGUGAGUGAAGAAGGUUUUCGGAUCAUAAAGCUCUGUUGUAAGAGAAGAACGGGUGUGAGAGUGGAAAGUUCACACUGUGACGGUAUCUUACCAGAAAGGGACGGCUAACUACGUG